CCUACGGGUGGCAGCAGUGAGGAAUAUUGGUCAAUGGGCGCGAGCCUGAACCAGCCAAGUAGCGUGAAGGAUGACUGCCCUCCGGGUUGUAAACUUCUUUUAUAAAGGAAUAAAGUGAGGCACGUGUGCCUUUUUGUAUGUACUUUAUGAAUAAGGAUCGGCUAACUCCGUGCCAGCAGCCGCGGUAAUACGGAGGGUCCGAGCGUUAGCCGGAUUUAUUGGGUUUAAAGGGCGAGUAGAUGGGUUGUUAAGUCAGGUGUGAAAGUUUGCGGCGCAACCGUAAAAUUGCAGUUGAUACUGGCAGUCUUGAGUGGAGGAGAGGUAGGCGGAAU
RNAcentral lists this ribosomal RNA (332 nucleotides) under uncultured bacterium. RNAcentral's name for it is "partial 16S ribosomal RNA". It matches the Rfam family "Bacterial small subunit ribosomal RNA", at positions 338 to 667 of the family's 1533-position model. The record is from RNAcentral.